UCCUCCUCCCACAUUGCUCACAGAUGACCCCAGAACACCCUCUCUGCAUCCCCCACCGUGCUUUACCAACAGAAAACUAGCUCCUGCACUCUCAGAGGGGGAGGGAGGACACACAGACAGAAACUUGAUCACUUCCCUGCUACGUGGAAAAUCACGACAGCGACAAGCACCUCAGCUUGAAACAAAUGCAUGGUUUCAUGUUGAAUCCAGCUGAGGACAAACCUGGCUGUGUUUAAGCAUGUUUAAACACAAUCAUCUCCGUCACCGGGACGUACGAGGAAACACAGAUCACAAAGUGUUUUAUUUUAUACUAACAUGAGGUACAGCUGCUUGGUAAAUGGUAAAACUAAGGUCACUUCCUGUUUUCUGCCUCUUGUUUACAUUCAAAUAAUUCCCCCCGUGCAGUGAUAAAAUCUCACCGCUAGAUGUCAGUAUUAGUCCGCCCUCUGCAGAGCCGUAUCGAUACAACCCUCUGGAGUCACUCUCAAAAUCACCAUCUUCAGACUAGUUCGGAAACGAAUGAUAAAAAGUGAAAGUGUCUUUGCAGUCUGGGUCAAAACUCUCCGAUGUCACCAAACCAUGAAAUAUGUGACCGACAAAACCCGGAACGAACAAAGAACGACUGAAAACUAAGAGGGACACCGUCUGGACCAAAUCUUUAAACUAGAUCACUGGAUGGAUAUGAUAGAUAAAUGAUAAAUGAUACGGUUAAACAAGUAUCAUUUAAAAUAAUUCAAAGAAUUUACCCUCUGACUCUACCUCCCCUGCAGCAGGACGUAGCCACUAAGGCUGUUUGUAAAGGCUUCAUCACAUUGUUGUUCCAUAUUUUUUAUAUUUUUUUAAGUAUGCACAAUGCCAAGUACAGCAACAACGACAAAAAAACAUGACUACAUCACACAAAUAAAGUAGAGAACAAAAUAAAGGCGGUUGAAGUUGCUUUUACCAUUGACAGUAGGUCUAGAAAGUCUUUCAGCCAGUUAUGUUUACUAUAGCGUCCGGUUUGCGUAUCUUCCAAUUCAUAAGUAUGAUCCUCUUCACAGAGAGAAAAGCUAGAGCAGUGAUUUGUUGAGUGACUCUUGAAUUUAAAUCUGCGACUCUACUUCCCAAUAAGCAUAAAGUGGGACAUUGAGGAACAUUAAUAUUAAAUACACCUUUUAAAAGACCAAUUACUUCAGACUAGAAUCGUUCUACUGCUGGGCAGAACCAUAGUAGAUGCAUCAAAGGACCAGGUUCACCACAGCCACAGUUCAGUGACAUUUGCGUCCAUUUUUUUUAACUUAUUUGGUGUAAUAUAAGCUCUGUGUACAAGUUUAAUUUAAAUAAUUUCAUAUCUCACACAGCUUGACAUAGAUGUUGAAUUCUUUAGUAUUGUAUCCCACUGAUCUACCGUGAGUGAUGAAACGUUUGCUUAUUACAUUAGAGGCACAUUUUAAAUGCACUUUGGGGUCUGAAAUUGCGAGAGGCUUUAGCCGUUCCUCACGUGUCACCUGAUCCAAUCUUACUACCAGAUUGUUGUUCCUUGAUUGAUGUUGUUGUUGUCCUAUGGAAUGGGACCCAGUGCACAGUCACACACUCUUUUUAAUGUGCAUUGUUAAGAUGAGCUUUUAUUGUGGGUGGAGAAAUUCAUCUUGGGCAAGGUUGUUGUUUCUUGAUUAUUGUUAUCGGUCAAUAAAUGUAAACUCUAACUGUUAUCGGUGUAGUGGCUAAUAUAACACUUUAUAUAACCUCACACUUUAUAUAACCUCACUUUGGAUCCAGGCUGAGACACUGUAAAAUGUCUGGUUCAUAUAUGUUCUUUGUUAUCUGGGGACACUUGGACUAAACAAUUUCCCUGUGGAGAUCAAUAAAGUGAUCUUGAAUCUUGAAUUAAAGUU
Molecule: long non-coding RNA, 1874 nt
Organism: Mugil cephalus (flathead mullet)
Lineage: Eukaryota; Metazoa; Chordata; Actinopteri; Mugiliformes; Mugilidae
Exons: 2
Source: RefSeq, a predicted model, not a curated record